RNAcentral lists this ribosomal RNA (570 nucleotides) under bacterium RBM-C5. RNAcentral describes it as "bacterial SSU rRNA". It matches the Rfam family "Bacterial small subunit ribosomal RNA", at positions 78 to 683 of the family's 1533-position model. The record is from RNAcentral.
GAUCCUUGCGGGAUUAGUGCGCGUACGGGUGAGUAACACGUGGGAACGUGCCCUUUGGUUCGGAACAACUCAGGGAAACUUGAGCUAAUACCGGAUGUGCCCUUCGGGGGAAAGAUUUAUCGCCAUUGGAGCGGCCCGCGUCUGAUUAGCUAGUUGGUGAGGUAAAGGCUCACCAAGGCGACGAUCAGUAGCUGGUCUGAGAGGAUGAUCAGCCACAUUGGGACUGAGACACGGCCCAAACUCCUACGGGAGGCAGCAGUGGGGAAUCUUGCGCAAUGGGCGAAAGCCUGACGCAGCCAUGCCGCGUGAAUGAUGAAGGUCUUAGGAUUGUAAAAUUCUUUCACCGGGGACGAUAAUGACGGUACCCGGAGAAGAAGCCCCGGCUAACUUCGUGCCAGCAGCCGCGGUAAUACGAAGGGGGCUAGCGUUGCUCGGAAUUACUGGGCGUAAAGGGAGCGUAGGCGGACUGUUUAGUCAGAGGUGAAAGCCCAGGGCUCAACCUUGGAAUUGCCUUUGAUACUGGCAGUCUUGAGUACGGAAGAGGUAUGUGGAACUCCGAGUGUAGAGGUG